Molecule: ribosomal RNA, 106 nt
Filed under: uncultured Gemella sp.
Lineage: Bacteria; Bacillati; Bacillota; Bacilli; Caryophanales; Gemellaceae
Description: partial 16S ribosomal RNA
Source: RNAcentral
UUCCUAGUGUAGCGGUGAAAUUGGUAGAUAUCGAAGAGAACCCCAGUGGGAAGUCGACCAACUGACUAAUAUGACACUGAGAUGCGAAGCGUGGGGAGCAAACAGG